Molecule: ribosomal RNA, 350 nt
Filed under: uncultured Rikenellaceae bacterium
Lineage: Bacteria; Pseudomonadati; Bacteroidota; Bacteroidia; Bacteroidales; Rikenellaceae
Description: bacterial SSU rRNA
Rfam family: Bacterial small subunit ribosomal RNA
Source: RNAcentral
GCGAGGUGCUGCAUGGUUGUCGUCAGCUCGUGCCGUGAGGUGUCGGGUUAAGUCCCAUAACGAGCGCAACCCCUACUGCUAGUUGCCAGCGGGUCAUGCCGGGGACUCUAGCGGAACUGCCAGCGUAAGCUGCGAGGAAGGUGGGGAUGACGUCAAAUCAGCACGGCCCUUACGUCCAGGGCUACACACGUGUUACAAUGGCCAGUACAGAGGGCAGCCACCCCGCGAGGGGGCGCUAAUCCUAAAAGCUGGUCCCAGUUCGGAUCGGAGUCUGCAACCCGACUCCGUGAAGCUGGAUUCGCUAGUAAUCGCGCAUCAGCCACGGCGCGGUGAAUACGUUCCCGGGCCUU